GAUGAACGCUGGCGGCGUGCCUAAUACAUGCAAGUCGAGCGAAUGGAUUAAGAGCUUGCUCUUAUGAAGUUAGCGGCGGACGGGUGAGUAACACGUGGGUAACCUGCCCAUAAGACUGGGAUAACUCCGGGAAACCGGGGCUAAUACCGGAUAACAUUUUGAACCGCAUGGUUCGAAAUUGAAAGGCGGCUUCGGCUGUCACUUAUGGAUGGACCCGCGUCGCAUUAGCUAGUUGGUGAGGUAACGGCUCACCAAGGCAACGAUGCGUAGCCGGCCUGAGAGGGUGAUCGGCCACACUGGGACGACGACACGGCCCAGACUCCUACGGGAGGCAGCAGUAGGGAAUCUUCCGCAAUGGACGAAAGUCUGACGGAGCAACGCCGCGUGAGUGAUGAAGGCUUUCGGGUCGUAAAACUCUGUUGUUAGGGAAGAACAAGUGCUAGUUGAAUAAGCUGGCACCUUGACGGUACCUAACCAGAAAGCCACGGCUAACUACGUGCCAGCAGCCGCUGUAA
Molecule: ribosomal RNA, 515 nt
Filed under: uncultured bacterium
Lineage: Bacteria
Description: partial 16S ribosomal RNA
Rfam family: Bacterial small subunit ribosomal RNA
Source: RNAcentral